CUGGCCGCUGCUUAACAUGCAGUCGAACGGUAGAGUAGCAAUACUCGAGAGUGGCGAACGGGUGAGUAAUAUAUCGGAACGUGCCCAGUCGUGGGGGAUAACGUAAAGAAAUUUACGCUAAUACCGCAUACGAUCUAAGGAUGAAAGCGGGGGACUUCGCAAGAGGCCUCGCGCGAUUGGAGCGGCUGAUAUCAAAUUAGGUUGUUGGUGAGGUAAAAGCUCACCAAGCCGACAAUCUGUAGCUGGUUUGAAAGAACGACCAGCCACACUGGGACUGAAACACGGCCCAAACUCCUACGGGAGGCAGCAGUGGGGAAUUUUGGACAAUGGGCGAAAGCCUGAUCCAGCAAUGCCGCGUGUGGGAAAAAGGCCUUCGGGUUGUAAACCACUUUUGUACGGAACGAAACGGUUCGCCUUAAUACGGCGGGCUAAUGACGGUACCGUAAAAAUAAGCACCGGCUAACUACGUGCCAGCAGCCGCGGUAAUACGUAGGGUGCGAGCGUUAAUCGGAAUUACUGGGCGUAAAGCGUGCGCAGGCGGUUAUAUAAGACAGUUGUGAAGUCCCCGGGCUCAACCUGGGAAUUGCAUCUGUGACUGUAUAGCUAGAGUACGGUAGAGGGGGAUGGAAUUCCGCGUGUAGCAGUGAAAUGCGUAGAUAU
RNAcentral lists this ribosomal RNA (660 nucleotides) under uncultured bacterium. RNAcentral describes it as "bacterial SSU rRNA". It matches the Rfam family "Bacterial small subunit ribosomal RNA", at positions 36 to 697 of the family's 1533-position model. The record is from RNAcentral.